GCUAACUACGUGCCAGCAGCCGCGGUAAUACGUAGGGUGCAAGCGUUAUCCGGAAUUAUUGGGCGUAAAGAGCUCGUAGGCGGUUUGUCGCGUCUGCUGUGAAAUCCCGAGGCUCAACCUCGGGCCUGCAGUGGGUACGGGCAGACUAGAGUGCGGUAGGGGAGAUUGGAAUUCCUGGUGUAGCGGUGGAAUGCGCAGAUAUCAGGAGGAACACCGAUGGCGAAGGCAGAUCUCUGGGCCGUAACUGACGCUGAGGAGCGAAAGGGUGGGGAGCAAACAGGCUUAGAUACCCUGGUAGUCCACCCCGUAAACGUUGGGAACUAGUUGUGGGGUCCUUUCCACGGAUUCCGUGACGCAGCUAACGCAUUAAGUUCCCCGCCUGGGGAGUACGGCCGCAAGGCUAAAACUCAAAGGAAUUGACGGGGACCCGCACAAGCGGCGGAGCAUGCGGAUUAAUUCGAUGCAACGCGAAGAACCUUACCAAGGCUUGACAUACACCAGAACACCGUAGAAAUACGGGACUCUUUGGACACUGGUGAACAGGUGGUGCAUGGUUGUCGUCAGCUCGUGUCGUGAGAUGUUGGGUUAAGUCCCGCAACGAGCGCAACCCUCGUUCUAUGUUGCCAGCACGUAAUGGUGGGAACUCAUGGGAUACUGCCGGGGUCAACUCGGAGGAAGGUGGGGAUGACGUCAAAUCAUCAUGCCCCUUAUGUCUUGGGCUUCACGCAUGCUACAAUGGCCGGUACAAAGGGCUGCAAUACCGUGAGGUGGAGCGAAUCCCAAAAAGCCGGUCCCAGUUCGGAUUGAGGUCUGCAACUCGACCUCAUGAAGUCGGAGUCGCUAGUAAUCGCAGAUCAGCAACGCUGCGGUGAAUACGUUCCCGGGUCUUGUACACACCGCCCGUCAAGUCAUGAAAGUCGGUAACACCUGAAGC
RNAcentral lists this ribosomal RNA (934 nucleotides) under Microbacterium sp. RNAcentral describes it as "bacterial SSU rRNA". It matches the Rfam family "Bacterial small subunit ribosomal RNA", at positions 496 to 1427 of the family's 1533-position model. The record is from RNAcentral. Lineage: Bacteria; Bacillati; Actinomycetota; Actinomycetes; Micrococcales; Microbacteriaceae.